Molecule: ribosomal RNA, 425 nt
Filed under: uncultured bacterium
Lineage: Bacteria
Description: partial 16S ribosomal RNA
Rfam family: Bacterial small subunit ribosomal RNA
Source: RNAcentral
GUGGGGAAUCUUGCGCAAUGGGCGAAAGCCUGACGCAGCCAUGCCGCGUGGAUGAUGAAGGUCUUAGGAUUGUAAAAUCCUUUCACCGGUGAAGAUAAUGACUGUAGCCGGAGAAGAAGCCCCGGCUAACUUCGUGCCAGCAGCCGCGGUAAUACGAAGGGGGCUAGCGUUGCUCGGAUUUACUGGGCGUAAAGGGCGCGUAGGCGGACAUUUAAGUCAGGGGUGAAAUCCCGGGGCUCAACCUCGGAACUGCCUUUGAUACUGGAUGUCUUGAGUGUGAGAGAGGUGUGUGGAACUCCGAGUGUAGAGGUGAAAUUCGUAGAUAUUCGGAAGAACACCAGUGGCGAAGGCGACACACUGGCUCAUUACUGACGCUGAGGCGCGAAAGCGUGGGGAGCAAACAGGAUUAGAAACCCUGGUAGUCC